Molecule: unclassified non-coding RNA, 253 nt
Filed under: Ascomycota sp.
Lineage: Eukaryota; Fungi; Ascomycota
Description: partial contains small subunit ribosomal RNA, internal transcribed spacer 1, and 5.8S ribosomal RNA
Rfam family: Eukaryotic small subunit ribosomal RNA (bases 1-47)
Source: RNAcentral
AAAGUCGUAACAAGGUCUCCGUUGGUGAACCAGCGGAGGGAUCAUUAUAGAGUCUAAAAAACUCCCAAACCCAUGUGGACAUACCUCAAGUUGCCUCGGCAGGUCGCGCCUACCUGGUAAGAUCUUACCCUGUAAGAUCUACCCUGUAAGCGCGGGUAAGCCUGCCAGUGGACCAACAAACUCUGUUUAUUUUUGAAUUCUGAAUCUAUAACUAAAUAAGUUAAAACUUUCAACAACGGAUCUCUUGGUUCUG